AUGACUCCCUUCUCUUUUCACGGAGUCAGUGAAGUGAAGUGAAUAAGGUAGAGUUAGAUCUGGCCGUACACAUCCACACGCGCGCUGAUGACACUGGGAUCUUAAGAUCCGACGGCUCUAGAUAACCCGAAAAUCUAGCGAGAAAUUGACUUGAGAGAUAGGCGAUCUGGACCGUCGGUGUCAACUUGGUAGGACCCACUACUGCACCUGUCACG
Arabidopsis thaliana (thale cress) is the source of this 215-nucleotide long non-coding RNA. RefSeq annotates it as other RNA. Lineage: Eukaryota; Viridiplantae; Streptophyta; Magnoliopsida; Brassicales; Brassicaceae. The record is from RefSeq. The transcript has a single exon.